ACAGUUGGAAACGACUGCUAAUACCGCAUGAUGUAUUCGGGGGGCAUCCCCUGAAUACCAAAGCUUUAUGUGCUGAAAGAUGGUCUCGCGUCUGAUUAGCUAGUUGGUGGGGUAACGGCUCACCAAGGCGACGAUCAGUAGCCGGUCUGAGAGGAUGAACGGCCACAUUGGGACUGAGAUACGGCCCAGACUCCUACGGGAGGCAGCAGUGGGGAAUAUUGGGCAAUGGGGGAAACCCUGACCCAGCAACGCCGCGUGAAGGAAGAAGGCCUUCGGGUUGUAAACUUCUUUUAGCAGGGACGAAGGACGUGACGGUACCUGCAGAAAAAGCAACGGCUAACUACGUG
RNAcentral lists this ribosomal RNA (347 nucleotides) under uncultured bacterium. RNAcentral's name for it is "bacterial SSU rRNA". It matches the Rfam family "Bacterial small subunit ribosomal RNA", at positions 146 to 507 of the family's 1533-position model. The record is from RNAcentral.